UGAGCAGAUCCCCCAGAGCCCUGCGGCUGCCCCAGCCCUUCCUGUGGGGCUGAUCCACGGGACCCUCCCAUGUCAUCUCUGAAUGGGGCCUGUGCUGGGACAAGGUGUGAAGAUGCUGGGGGCAGUCAGCACCGUGGUCUGGAUGUGGUUCUGGUGACUGCACACCUCUCUGCUCCUUGUCUCUCCAGGAGAGCGCCCAGGGCUUCCAGAGCAGGCCCUGGCACAUCCCUGUGCUGCCACCUGAUGUGCUCCAGUGGUCCCGCAGCAGAGCCUGAGCCCUGUGGCUGUAGGAGCUGAGGACAACUGCCAUUCUGCUGCCACAGGGUGCAGGAUGUGCUUGAGGCUGGCUGUUAACCCAGCACCAGGGCGAGGUGUGAGGGCUGCUCCACUUCCUGUGUGGCCAUGGCUUGCACACGCCUUGGCACCCUCCUGUGGGUGGCUGCCCCGUGCGUGACCUGCUGCUGGCAAACAUCCCUGCACAGAACGUGCCCCUGUGCAGCCCCAGCCCAGCUCUGCCCCAGCCACCAGCCCUGGGCCCCCCGAGGCAGGGGAUGGGCCCUGGCAGCCCCUCGGCUGAGGUGGUCACAGACAUGCCCUGGCCACAGCGCUCCCAUGGGAGCUGGCAGUGGCUGGGGCUGCUCCAAGGCACCUGCUCUCUCACAGUGCCAUGGGAAGGAAUUCCUCUGCCCCACAGAAGCCACAGGGGGGUGUGGGUUAUUCCCAGUGGGAAGAGCUCUAUAAGCUCUAAAACUCCCCUCCCCUGGGGCCUGCUCUUCUCCCUCACCUGCUCUCCCCAGAGAUUUCUCCUCUCCAGCAUGUGACUCUGCUGCAGAGGGUUGUCUCUUGGUUUUACUGAGCUUGAAACAGGGGCUUUCCCUGCACUGGUUAAAUUCUUCUUUUGCUGCUGAAUUUCUGUCUCCAAAUGACCCGAUGGGAAGCAGCUGCUGGUUCUCAGAGGGGCUGUGGGUGACACUGAGGAUAGCAGCACAGGACCCUCUUCAGAGGGUUUUGGACAGUAAGGAAGAUAUCUGAGCACAGCCCAAGGCCAGGGCAGAUCUGUGGGGACCUCAGGAAUGGUCAGCUGGCCGUCUAUGCUGGCACCCAGCACUUGGGCCUUGCCUUUGGUGGGAGGUUUGCUCUCCUGGGGACCGGGUGAAGGCUGGGUACCACUGUGGAAUAGUGCCAUGGGCACAGGGCGGCUGCUGCUGCUCUGUGCCCUGCGCUUGGUGGGCUUGUUGCUCCCACAGCUGAUGUGCCUCUUGGGGCUUCCUGGGGAGCUGCAAGGUGGGCACAACACAGCCCAGCCUGGCCCAUGUUGGGCAGGAUCUGCUGCACAUUGUUCUGGAGUGUCUGGGUGGGUGGGGAGGUUGGGUGCAGCUACUUGGAGAAAGCAAAUAUUCUGGCAAGCAAAGGGUGGGAUUUCCACGGGGUCUUCACUAGAAAUGAUGUGCAUUUUGACUUAAUGAUGUCAGUGAAUCAUAUAAUGCUUUGGGCUGGAUGAGACCUUAAAGAUUGUCUUGUUCCAGCCCCUCUGCCAUGGGCAGGGACACCUUUCACUAGACUAGGUUGCUCCAAGCCCUGUCCAGCCUGGCCUUGGACACUUCCAGGGAUGGGACAGCCACAGCUUCUCUGGGCAACAAACUCAAGAGGCUGAAGGUGUGAGGAUUGUUGCUGAGGAUUGUUGCUGGUUUGGGGGUGGCUUCCAGGCGAGCAGGGACAAGAGCAAAUACCUUCACAUCUGGUAUUUCUUGCCACCCUGGAAUAAAUGUUGUUGAUCCAGUCUUGGAAGGACCACAGGUGGGGGAGGGCUGGGGUGGGGGGCAGAGGUUGAACAGGGACCAUAGUCCAACUAGAUUACAGUGAGGGAUGGCUCCUUGCACCUUGGAGCAAGUGCUCCCUGUGAAGGGACGAUGGGGCAAGUGAGGGAGAGCAACCUCUGCCACCUCCCGGACCACCACCACUGCCUCGGCUGCUUCAUGGUGCCUGGCUCGGAGCUGGAGUCUGGCAUGUCCAUGGGAGCCUGAAGGAAUCCAUCACUGAGUCUCAUUUGGGGUUUUCUGUUGGUUUGGGUUUAUUUUUCUUUUUUUUUUUUUUUUCUUUAUUUUUUUUUUUUUUCUACCGCCUUAGUUUGUGGCCUGUCUUGUUGUGGUUGGAAAGAGUAUUGCUAGCCAGGUGGGUCAGUCGGUUGGCCCCACGCAUGAUCAUGUGCUUCCCUCUUCUCUCUGUCGAACGGGAUGUGCUCGCCUGAUCUCC
Molecule: long non-coding RNA, 2253 nt
Organism: Taeniopygia guttata (zebra finch)
Lineage: Eukaryota; Metazoa; Chordata; Aves; Passeriformes; Estrildidae
Source: Ensembl